RNAcentral lists this unclassified non-coding RNA (205 nucleotides) under Hevea brasiliensis (rubber tree). The record is from RNAcentral. Lineage: Eukaryota; Viridiplantae; Streptophyta; Magnoliopsida; Malpighiales; Euphorbiaceae.
GUUUUCUAGCCUAAUAAUAAGAUAAUUCAACAAACUAUAUUUAAGUCGGUGCAACUAUCAUUCAAAUCCCAAUCGUAACUUUCGUUUCAUUUUCUAAUUGACAGUAGGCAACUUUUUCUCUAAUUUAUUAUACAACACCUUAAUUAAAUAUUUUUGUUUCCCCAGGAUACCUUCUAAUACAUUACAAAUUUACAGUUCAAAAAAG